This 497-nucleotide ribosomal RNA is filed under the name uncultured bacterium. Its description in RNAcentral is "partial 16S ribosomal RNA". It matches the Rfam family "Bacterial small subunit ribosomal RNA", at positions 28 to 507 of the family's 1533-position model. The record is from RNAcentral.
GUUGAACGCUGGCGGCGUGCCUAAUACAUGCAAGUCGAGCGAACAGACGAGGAGCUUGCUCCUCUGACGUUAGCGGCGGACGGGUGAGUAACACGUGGAUAACCUACCUAUAAGACUGGGAUAACUUCGGGAAACCGGAGCUAAUACCGGAUAAUAUAUUGAACCGCAUGGUUCAAUAGUGAAAGACGGUUUUGCUGUCACUUAUAGAUGGAUCCGCGCCGCAUUAGCUAGUUGGUAAGGUAACGGCUUACCAAGGCGACGAUGCGUAGCCGACCUGAGAGGGUGAUCGGCCACACUGGAACUGAGACACGGUCCAGACUCCUACGGGAGGCAGCAGUAGGGAAUCUUCCGCAAAGGGCGAAAGCCUGACGGAGCAACGCCGCGUGAGUGAUGAAGGUCUUCGGAUCGUAAAACUCUGUUAUUAGGGAAGAACAAAUGUGUAAGUAACUAUGCACGUCUUGACGGUACCUAAUCAGAAAGCCACGGCUAACUACGUG